CGGUAAUUCCAGCUCCAAUAGCGUAUACUAAAGUUGUUGCAGUUAAAAAGCUCGUAGUUGGAUUUCUGCGGGGACGGAGCGGCCGGACGCAACUUGCGUCUCGAGCUAGCGCUUUCCCCGCAUCCUGCCGCGAACCGUGCUACCAUUAGUUUGGUGGCGCUGGGGAUCGGCUCGAUUACUUUGAGAAAAAUAGAGUGUUCAAAGCAGGCCACACGCCUUGAAUAAGUUAGCAUGGAAUAAUGACUAAGGACUUUGGUUCUUUUCGUUGGUGUUCGGGACUGAAGUAAUGAUUGAUAGGGACAGUUGGGGCGGUCCGUAUUCCAAAGCGAGAGGUGAAAUUCUUAGACCUUCGGAAGACGAACAGCUGCGAAAGCGUUCCGCAAGGAUGUUCCCUUUGAUCAAGAACGAAAGUUGGGGGAUCGAAGACGAUCAGAUACCGUCGUAGUCUCAACUAUAAACUAUACCAGCUAGGGAUCGGCCAACGUUUAAUUAUUCGACUUGGUCGGCACCUUAUGAGAAAUCAAAGCAUCUGGGUUCCGGGGGGAGUAUGGUCGCAAGGCUGAAACUUAAAGGAAUUGACGGAAGGGCACCACCAGGCGUGGAGCCUGUGGCUUAAUUUGACUCAACACGGGAAAACUUACCAGGUCCAGACAUAGGAAGGAUUGACAGAUUGAUAGCUCUUUCUUGAUUCUGUGGGUGGUGGUGCAUGGCCGUUUUUAGUCGGUGAAGUGAUUUGUCUGCUUAAUUGCGUUAACGGACGAGACCCCAGCCUGCUAAAUAGCGCGGCCGAGCUUUGCUCGGUACGAGCUUCUUAGAGGGACCAUGAUGCGCGAUAGCACAAGGAAGUUUGGGGCAACAACAGGUCUGUGAUGCCCUUAGAUGUUCUGGGCCGCACACGGGCUACACUGGCGCCUGCAACGAGCAUAUCAGCUGGCCCGAGAGGGUCUUGGCUAAUCUUUGGAACCGGCGCCGUGCUUGGGAUUGACCAUUGCAAUUGUUGGUCAUGCAACGAGGAAUGCCUUGUAAACGCGAGUCAUCAGCUCGCAUUGAAUACGUCCCUGCCCUUUGUACACACCGCCCGUCGCUCCUACCGAUGAAUGUUCCGAUGAAAUUUUCGGAGAGCGCCGGAGAACGGGGCUCUGCCCUGCAGAACUGGAGGCUCAAAGUCACUUAAAUCUGAACAUUUCGAGGAAGGAGAAGUCGUAACAAGGUAACC
This 1216-nucleotide ribosomal RNA is filed under the name uncultured Rhizaria. RNAcentral's name for it is "SSU rRNA". It matches the Rfam family "Eukaryotic small subunit ribosomal RNA", at positions 577 to 1804 of the family's 1831-position model. The record is from RNAcentral.